Molecule: ribosomal RNA, 465 nt
Filed under: uncultured bacterium
Lineage: Bacteria
Description: partial 16S ribosomal RNA
Rfam family: Bacterial small subunit ribosomal RNA
Source: RNAcentral
GACGAACGCUGGCGGCGUGCUUAACACAUGCAAGUCGAACGGAAAGGCCCUGCUUGCAGGGUACUCGAGUGGCGAACGGGUGAGUAACACGUGGGUGAUCUGCCCUGCACUUCGGGAUAAGCCUGGGAAACUGGGUCUAAUACCGGAUAGGAGCCAUUUUUAGUGUGAUGGUUGGAAAGUUUUUCCGGUGUAGGAUGAGCUCGCGGCCUAUCAGCUUGUUGGUGGGGUAAUGGCCUACCAAGGCGGCGACGGGUAGCCGGCCUGAGAGGGUGGACGGCCACAUUGGGACUGAGAUACGGCCCAGACUCCUACGGGAGGCAGCAGUGGGGAAUAUUGCACAAUGGGCGCAAGCCUGAUGCAGCGACGCCGCGUGGGGGAUGACGGCCUUCGGGUUGUAAACUCCUUUCGCUAGGGACGAAGCUUUUUGUGACGGUACCUAGAUAAGAAGCACCGGCUAACUACGUG